UCCCUGGUGGCUCAGAUGGUAAAGCGCCUGCCUGCAAAGCGGGAGAUCCGGGUUCAAUCCCUGGUUCGGGAA
This is a non-coding RNA of Bos taurus (domestic cattle), 72 nucleotides long. The record is from Rfam. Lineage: Eukaryota; Metazoa; Chordata; Mammalia; Artiodactyla; Bovidae.